This 1521-nucleotide long non-coding RNA is filed under the name Salmo salar (Atlantic salmon). RNAcentral's name for it is "lncRNA (ENSSSAG00000105066.1)". The record is from RNAcentral. Lineage: Eukaryota; Metazoa; Chordata; Actinopteri; Salmoniformes; Salmonidae.
UAACCAAAACCCUUGUCUUGCUGGAGGUGUUCACAGAAGCUAGAUGCAGAGUUGUUACCGGUCCUCCCAUCGAUUGCACCAGAAGUCGCUCUGGAUAAGUGUGUGCUAAAUGACUCAAAUGUAAUGUACAAUGUCAUUUCGAUGUCUGAAGGUGUGUCGUACUUGGCUCCCCUUGUGGUCAACGUCCAGGGCUUGGGUCUUCACCUUGGUCUCCAGCAGGGUCAGCCUCUGUAUCAUGGAGGGCAUCAGCUCAAAAUCACUAAGAAGCCAUAGAGGGGAAUACUAAAACCCCAAAGGACAAGGCAUCGGGGGCAAGCACCUUGACACUUCCGUUUUUGCUGCAGUUGGGACUGAUGGUUGCACCUGCCUUACUUCAAACUCUGCUGUAGCACUUGCUAUGCUCUCCUUCCACAAGACUCUGCAGAACUUCUGCAAGAACGGGGGCAACAACAUAACAAUAGCUUUAAUGACUAGGCCUACUAUAUUUACCUGUACUGUAGACCCUAGCUGACCCGUUUCCAUGACUGAACACCAUGAUAUUCUUAACCCAAAUGACCUUGUAAUAAUCAUACAGAAACAGAAAUAAAGUUGUGUAUCUACACUCUUCUUGAUAUUUUCUAUCUCUGUCUAAUAGAUGGAGCCAUGUGCAGACUAUGCCUAUGACAUAUUGUGGGCUAGGGAUAGGCUAGGCAUUAGCCUUGAAAACCACCCUGGUUUCUUUACCUGGCUGCCACACCCCUCCCUCAGAGCUCUGGGUCUGCUCAGCUUCCUUUACUUCCUGUUGUGUCGAGCUCCUCUCCACACCCCACCCAGACCAUGCGGUAGUCAUUCAGAAACCACUGAGUGGUUAAAAAAACUCACUGUGAGUUUAAAAAAAAAACUUUUCAGUAACAUCGGUUAACCUGUCUGGGAACCUGGGACGUUUGCGUCCCACCCUAGUCAACAGCCAGUGGAAUCGCGUCGCGCGAAAUACAAAUACCUCAUAAAUGCUAUAACUUCAAUUUCUCAAACAUAUGACUGUUUUACACCAUUUUAUAAAUACACCUCUCCAGAAUCGAACCAUGUUGUCCGAUUUCAAAAAGGCUUUACAGCAAAAGCAAAACAUUAGAUUAUGUUAGGAGAGUACCCUGCCAAAAAUAAUCACACUGCCAUUUUCAAAGCAACUAGCAUGCAUCACAAAUACCCAAAACACAGCUAAAUGCAGCACUAACCUUUGACAAUCUUCAUCAGAUGACACUCCUAGGACAUCAUGUUACACAAUACAUGCAUUUUUUGUUCGAUAAAGUUCAUAUUUAUAUAUAAAAACAGCAUUUUACAUCGACGCGUGACGUUCAGAAAAUAUUUUCCCUCAUAUGCUUCCGGUGAUCAGCGCUACAAUUUUCAAAAUUACUAUUCGAAAACAUUGGUCAAAUAUAAUAUUGUCAUUCAAAGAAUUAUCGAUUAACCUGUUGGGGGUAGGGGGCAGUAUUUGCACGGCCGGAUAAAAAACGUACCCGAUUUAAUCUGGUUAUUACUACUGCC